This is a long non-coding RNA of Alosa sapidissima (American shad), 729 nucleotides long. RefSeq lists it as uncharacterized. The transcript has 3 exons. The record is from RefSeq and is a predicted model, not a curated record. NCBI's taxonomy places the organism in Eukaryota, Metazoa, Chordata, Actinopteri, Clupeiformes, Clupeidae.
GGGACAGUUCGGGAUCCACGACUAUAAAGGUUCUUUAAACAGGCACUGAUGACUGCACUGAGAACAGAGCUUCCAAGGACACGAGUGUGUGGAUGCUACUUCCCCUUCAACCAGGCCUUGUGGAGGAGGGUGCAGGGACUUGGACUGGCUGCUGCAUUCCGGCAUGACAUCGAUUGACAGCAAUCAUCUGUAAGGUGAUGCCACUAGGCCACCUGCCACUGCCCCUGGUCCAAAAUAACUUUGACCUGCUGCUUCACCACCACAACACCAGGCGUGCCCAGCGGGACCACUCAGAACUGCAGGACUUCUUACGAUAUGUCCGCAAUACCUACGUCCACCCUGGAGCAGCCUUCCCACCUGCAGUAUUAGUAAUAAGUAUUCGAGCGAAACAUGGAGCAAAGGACCAACAAACAUCUUGAAUCUUAUCAUCGCACUCUGAACAAUGCCGUUCAAGUGCGCCACCCAUCACUGUGGAUGUGUCUUCACCACCUGAAAGACCAGCAGCAGCUUGCUGAGGAGAAGCUGGAGAUGGCAGCCCGUGGUCAUGGUCAAGCUGUGGUCAUUGUUCAGAGUGACAUUUUCUGGAUGGGUUGCUUGCUUAUGGAGAAGGAGCCCCAUCUGUCUUCUUGAGCUAGCCUACCUAUGUUGUGUUGGUUCUGUCUUCCCCUCCUAAGGUCUAAUACAAGUUCACAAUUAAAUUAAUGUUUUGAAAAGAAAGUUUGCCAAGUG